GUGAUAAUAUCCGGAAGUAGGGUCCAGUUCACAAGGCCAAUACUAACGGGAUUUUUCGUUGGAGGUGUUUCAGGGUGAAAUUAAAUAACUACCAGGAGGAGAUCCGUGACAGGUAUUGUGCUACUUCCACGGAUGCUUCCAUAAUCGAUACAACUAUGUCAUCAUUGGAGCUAAGCUCAUCGUCCAACGUCAAUUCAGAUG
RNAcentral lists this long non-coding RNA (201 nucleotides) under Physcomitrium patens. RNAcentral describes it as "long non-coding RNA (PPAT_LNC004023)". The record is from RNAcentral. Lineage: Eukaryota; Viridiplantae; Streptophyta; Bryopsida; Funariales; Funariaceae.